UUUGUGUUCUUCCCCUUAUCAGCCCUUCUCCCUCAACCCCGCUAUUCGAAAAGCUCUUUUUCAGCUUUGUAGAUUUUAGAACAUUACUAACAUCAUCCAGUGAGAUUCCGUCUUUCGUAUAUAACAAUAUAUCAAUAAAAGUAUUGUAAGACGGUGGUAAAGAACAUAUCAUAAUCAAGGCUUGAUCCUCACUAUAAAUAUUGAUAUCCUAGUUAUUUAAGUCUGCUAUAAUUGAAUUAAACUCAUCCAGGUUAGUUUUAACUGGUGUACCUUCAUUUAUAUGAAUAUUAUACAACCUGUUUUCCAAGUAGAGGUGGUUUUCAAGCAAUUUCUUAGAUUACAGAUCUUCCAACUUCUUUCAUGUCUUUGUUAUAGAUUCCUCUUUAGUAAUUUCCCAAAGAACAUUAUCUAUAAUGCUCAUGAAUAUUAGGCUCAAAGCCCUCUUCUUAUCUAUGAUUCUUUCAACUUUUCUAGAAAAGCUUUCUUAAUUGCCUUCCAUAAUCCUUGUAAUAGAUACUUUCAACUUUUCUAGAAAAGCUUUCUUAAUUGCCUUCCAUAAUCCUUGUAGUACCAGGACGACCUUAUUCUAAUUAUCCAUAGAUUGAUACUAGAUCCCUAUAAAAUUUCUCUAUUUCAUGCUUUAUUAAAGAUGAUGGAGACAUCUUAACCAUUAAUUAUUUGUAGAAACCCCAGUCUGACUCAGAUACCAAUUAUUGUGAACAUAUCAUGAAUUUUCUUAAUCAACUUUGGACCUGGCCCAUUUUAUUAAUAAAAUAAUAAAGUUUGUAGAAAAUGACUCAAGUAAGCCCAUGAAUUAAAAGGCAAAAAAUAAAAAUAAAAAAGAAAGCUAAAGGGUGGAGACCCGAUCUGCCAAUGGGCCUUGGAAAACCAUCAAAAUUCCCUGAACUAGGGUUUCCUAAUUGUGACUUCCCUAACAUCAUCCUCAAAUGACGCUGCUAGAAGAUCUCUUCAAUGUCGGAUUCCUUAUGCUCUUAUUUUGGAUAAGUAAUCUUGUCGGAGAUAAAGCAAGUGGCGAGCUCUUUAUAUUCAACUCCCACAGGUAAAUCAGUGGAGGAAAUAAACAAGAUGCCCUAGAGCUCUUUCUCUUGAUACUCUUCACCUGCGACUGCAUACAAUUGUCCAUUUGACUCCAUAGCCUUUACUUUUUUGACGGUGACUCUUUUUGAAAGCUAACAUAACUUAGGGUAAGUAGCUUACUACUCACAGUUAUGUAGCCCUUUGAUUGGCAAAAACUAUUGUAAAUAUCAUAGCUGUGAGACCUUGAUGUGUUUAUCUUGUGGUUAAUCAUAUUGAAUGUUGUUUUUCUUCC
This is a long non-coding RNA of Capsicum annuum, 1330 nucleotides long. RefSeq lists it as uncharacterized. The record is from RefSeq and is a predicted model, not a curated record. NCBI's taxonomy places the organism in Eukaryota, Viridiplantae, Streptophyta, Magnoliopsida, Solanales, Solanaceae. The transcript is spliced from 2 exons.